Molecule: long non-coding RNA, 5624 nt
Filed under: Gossypium barbadense (sea-island cotton)
Lineage: Eukaryota; Viridiplantae; Streptophyta; Magnoliopsida; Malvales; Malvaceae
Description: long non-coding RNA (GBAR_LNC000129)
Source: RNAcentral
AAAAUAAUAAUAAUAAAUAAAAUAUGUAAUAAAAUUACAACCAAUUUCACGACCAGGGAAAACUCUUCGUCAGUGAUGCAAUUCGAAGAAUAAUUAGUUCCAUUGUAGCAGCCUCUGCUUUAACCUGGCUGAAAGAAUUCCCAGAAUUUGCAUUGUCAACAUCAACUGCACCUAAAGAUAAUAUAAGGUCAAAAUCAUUGUGGAUCAGAUUGAUAUCUUCUAGUAGAAGGCAAAGAUUGAUUUUUUUUUUUUCAAAAUAUUUUUGAAAAUCCAAUUUUUUAAUCUCAUGAACUUAUGUUAUUAUACUUUGACGGAAUCCAAUGUGCCUUUAUUGAAAUUUGAAUCCUUAUAAAUAGACCAUGCUUGGCUGCUCCAUCUCCAUAUCAUCAAAGCUUUCAUAUCCAACAAUGUCUCUUCACUCUUCUCUCACCAUGUCAUUGCUGUCUUUCUCCUUCUUGUUGCUGUUUACUUUUAGUGCCAAAGCUGUUGUUCCUCCAUCUGAAACUUUUAGGUUUGUCAACGACGGAGAAUUUGGGCCGUUUGUUGUUGAAUAUGAUGCAAAUUACCGUGUCAUAAGCAUAGCUAAUGCCCCCUUCCAGCUUGCGUUUUAUAACACCACCCCUAAUGCCUUCACCCUUGCGUUACGCAUGGCUACAACGCGUUCCGAGUCGCUCUUCCGAUGGGUUUGGGAGGCCAACAGGGGGAACCCUGUUCGCGAGAACGCCACGUUCUCUCUCGGGACUGACGGGAACCUUGUCUUGGCUGAUGCCGAUGGUCGGAUUGCUUGGCAAAGUAACACUGCCAACAAAGGUGUGGUAGGGUUCCAAUUGUUGCCUAAUGGUAACAUGGUGUUACACGAUUCCAAUGGCAAGUUCAUUUGGCAAAGUUUUGAUCAUCCAACUGAUACACUCUUGGUGGGUCAGUCGCUUAGAAUCGGAGGGGCGACGAAGCUUGUGAGUCGGGCUUCUGCUCAAAACAAUGUUGACGGAGCCUAUAGCUUGGUGAUGGAGCCUAAACAGUUGGUUUUGCAGUACAAGGGAAUGAACUCUCCUAAACCACUUGUCUAUUUCAAAUCAUCUGUUUGGCCAAGUACACAAGAUGGUACUUUACAAACUGUGACACUAAAUGUUGAGGAAACAAAUGAUGGCUUUGCUUAUAACGUUUUGUUAGACUACACAGUGGCUAACUCGUCCAUCGGGACCGGAAAUCUCAUCUUGACAAGGCCGAAAUACAACAGCACAUUGUCGAUUCUUCGACUCGGGAUCGAUGGAAACCUGAGGGUUUUUACCUACUAUGACAAGGUUGAUUCACAGGCAUGGGAAGAGACUUUCACUCUCUUCUCUAGGGACUCAAUAUGGGGCACUGAAUGCGAACUGCCGGAGAGGUGUGGGAACUUUGGACUCUGUGAGGAGAACCAAUGCGUUGCUUGCCCGUCAACAAACGGAUUACUCGGUUGGAGCCAGAAUUGUCAGCCGAAGAAGGUGAAUUGUAGGCCGAAUGGUUUCAGCUACUACAAGCUAGAAGGAGUUGACCAUUUCAUGAGCCAGUACAACGAAGGAGAAGGGAUAAAGGAGAGUGAUUGUGGGAGGAAAUGCACCUCUGAUUGCAAGUGUUUGGGGUACUUUUACCACAGGGAAACAUCCAAAUGUUGGAUCGCUAAUGAGUUGAAAACCCUUGCUAAAACCUCUAACUCUUCCCAUGUUGGUUAUAUAAAGGCACCCAACAAGUGACGGGAAUCCUAUUAAGUAUUUGUACUUUUUCCUCUGUAUUUUCCAGUUUCUUUAUUGUAAGCUAAUAAGUAUUUGUAAGUUUGAAUUACAAAUUAAAGUUUUAUUUAAAAGUAUCAAUCAAGUGUAUUUGUAGUCAAUAAACUAAAUUCGAAAUGCAUUGAGUGGAUCAAGUGCAAGUUCUCAUGGCUCUUCUCUUUUGGCGCAUAAACGAAUAGAGACAGAAUGGUACAGAAUAGUAAAGGAACUCUGUAGUGUUCCCAGAAUAGGAAAACUAUUUUUGUUAAUCAAUACUUAUUUUUCUUAAAAUCUUAAAUUAAAUUAAAUUAAAUUGAUACCAUUAACUUGAAAUAUCGUGAUCUAAAAUUUCUAUAUUGCAUCAUGUUUUGAUUGGUAUUAUCAAUAUAAUAUUGAGAAAAGGGGAUGGAAGAUAACAGAAUUUAAAUUCAUAUAAUUUAAGUGCUUGUGAGAAGCUUUCAUUAUUGCUCUAAAUAUCUGUUGGUUUAGUUGAUAUGAUGAAAGGUUGAAAAAAAUUUUAUUUUUUUAAGGAAUUUAUCGAAGUGAAUUAAUCCUUCAUAUUAUGUAAGUUUAUUAAGAGAUUAGAUAUUAAUCACGAUUUUUAAAGGUGCUUUAUACUUAGGACAAGUACCAAAACCUUAAUCAUUGAUGAAGGUAGGAGAAAAUUUUAUAUCUUCCCUAAACAAUUGGAAUAUAUUUAAAUUGUGAAGUUGAAAUAUGAAAGCAAUUAAUAGCUAAAAUUUUGUUACCAGAUACAGCGCAAUCUAAACCACAAGCGAGGGUCCCGUAGAGAUGCUUUGUUGCCUUAUCUUCCAACCGGCCCGCCAUUUAGAUGUAAUUGCACCAUAGCUAAGCUUGAUGUCUUCAAGACUUUCAAAGCCGUCACAAAAGACUCAAACCAACGGUGGCUUGCUCGUGUUUAUCCAUUACAAUAUCUCCUAACACUGAAAAAUUAGUAAAGUAUAUUUUUAUAAAUAAAGUAAUUAUAUUAUUAUGAAUUUAAUAUAAAUUUAAUAUAAAUUUAAUUACGAUGAAAUUUGAAUUCAUAAUAUAAUGAAUUUUAAAUAUUUAAUUUUAUUUUUUAAAUCACAUAUAAUUUCUACCUCAAGUUUUAAUAAAUAUAUUAUUGUUACAUAAAUCGUGGGUAUGACUUAAUUUAAUAAAUUGUUAAAUAACUUAUGAACAUCUCUUUUAUCACUAAAAUUUUAAACUAAAAGUGAAUAAUUUAUUUACCUAAAUAAAUAUAAAUGUGUAGUUAAGGUUUAGUGCAGGGGCUUUGGCCUCCUAAAAAUUAGAAAAUUAAAAUUCUAGUUCUCUGUAAAUGAUCAAAUUAUAAAUUAAUAUAAGGGAAAAUUCUGCUUUGGUUUUCUAAAAAAUUUCCGAAUUCACCCCUAGUUUAGGGCAUUAUUUUCAUAAACAUAUUGAAUUAGUUAAUUAGAUCAGUUGAACCGAGAAUCAACUGAAGUAGUACUAAAUACACAAAUCAUCAUCUAUACCUAUACCAAAAUUAUUUUUAUCAGAUGCACUAACAUUGAAAACUAUUUUUUUUCACAAGUAAGUUGGUGGUGGUGACAAAUGUCUCAUUUAUUUAAUUUUAAAAAAAAAUUAAAAUUAUUCAAAAGAUACUCAUCAUCAUGGUAAGAAUACAAGUGAAUUUAUGAUAAACUAAAUAAUUAUCUAUUACUUAUUGGUCGAUUGAAUUGAUGCCACCAGAUGAAAAUCACUUAUAAAUAAUUAUAAGACACGUUAAAAUAUACAUAUAGUGACCUAAACCUAAGAGACACUACUUUAGUUUCCUUGCUGAACUUCAAAACUUUAUUUGCUUGCCAGUAACUAUAGAUAAAAAUAAUAAUACAAGUUAGGAUAUGAUAUGAUUGGUUAUCCCCACGAUUGUAGAUAUAAAUUUUGUUUUACAAUUAAAAAUAUAGAAAGGAAGAUCACUUAGACACACUACGUGUCCCAGCUUGCCUUUACGCAAAAUGAUAAUGAAUUUAUUUAUUAAUGUUUUGAUGACCAAGUUUUUCCAUAAUCUUGACCUCUUAAUAAAUAAUUUACAUGAUGCUGACCCUCUAAAUUUAACUAAUUAAAUCCUAUCUAUUUAUCAAUAUUUUAUAAAUCUUAAAACAUGACAAAUUAUGAAAUAAUCUAACAGAGACAUGCACGUAACCAUAGGGUUUAUAAGAACUGUCUUGUCUGUAGCAAAUUGAAGAAACGUUUUUUGGCGUCUCACCUUCUAAAUUAUGUCGUUUUAUUAUAGUAUAAAUGAUUGAUGCUUUAGCUUUGAUUUUUGUUUCCCUUUUAUAGGAAUAUUAAAAUGCCAAGUGUAGAUAAUGCAAGACAGGAAAUGACAGCGGGUGGGCCUAGAAUCCUGAAAUUAUUUUGGUCAAGCAAGGCCCUUUUAAUUAUUAAUUGAGCAGCCAACUUUUGCCAAACUAUUAAAGUUGAGGUCUUAUUCUUCCUCCACUCCCUGUAAUAUCGAGAACUUUAAAUUUAAGUCCUACCUUUCAUACUAGUCCCUUUACUUGUUUGUUUGAAAAUUAAAGUACAAUUGAUGACACUUUUAUUGAAUUUGAGUUAUCAAUUGGACUUCAUUCAAUUUUUAAAUCAGACUUUUGAUUUUUUUUUAAGUUUUACUAUUACAAAUACAAUACAAGUACAAAUAUAUGUCCGAUCAACUAUAAUAUAGAAUCAAACCAACACAAAGGCAAAACCCUCACAUGGUAAAUGUGUAUGGUGAGAUAAGAGACUCAUUGCAAUUAUGCAUGAUGAACUCAAACUUGGGUAUUCAAAUUUAAAGAAAUUUCAUUAAUACUAUUAUCAAUUAAACUUUAAAUUUUAAGUUAAACAACCGGAGGGAUUUAAUUUUUGGAGCUAAAGACAUAGGGAUUAAAAUUUUAAGGUCUUAAGAUUACACAGACUGUGGGGAGAAUUAAACCAAAAUUUAAUUACUCUCUUUUCAAUCGACUUAAAUAUUUAGCCUAAGUCAAUCCUAAUCCUAAAUUUAAGAGAAGCUAAUUAAACAUUUAAAUGGCUUACUUCUGAAGGGAAAAUUGUUCAGUCGGCGGUGCAAUUCGAAGAAUAAUUAUAGUUCCAUUGUAGCAGCCUCUGCUUUAACUUGGCUGACCAGAUUUUGGAAUAUCAACAUCGAUUGCACCUAAGAUAAUAUAAGGUCAAAAUCAUUGUGGAUCAGAUUGAUAUCUUCUAGUAGAAGGCAAAGAUUGUGUUUUUUUUUUUUCAAAAUAUUUUUGAAAACCCAAUUUUUUAAUCUCAUGAAUCUAUUUUAUUAUACCUUUGAUGGUAUGCAAUGUGCCUUCAUUGAAUCCUUAUAAAUAGACCAUGCUUGGUUGCUCCAUCUCCAUAUCAUCAAAGCUACCAUAUCCAAAAAUGUCUCUUUACCCUUCUCUCACCAUGUCAUUGCUGUCUUUUUCCUUGUUGUUGCUGUUUGCUUUUAGUGCCAAAGCUGUUGUUCCCCCAUCUGAAACUUUUAGGUUUGUCAACGAAGGGGAAUUUGGGCCUUUUAUUGUUGAAUAUGGUGCAGAUUACCGUGUCAUAAGCAUAGCUAAUGCCCCCUUCCAGCUUGCGUUUUAUAACACCACCCCUAAUGCCUUCACCCUUGCGUUACGCAUGGCUACAACGCGUUCCGAGUCGCUCUUCCGAUGGGUUUGGGAGGCCAACAGGGGGAACCCUGUUCGCGAGAACGCCAUGUUCUCUCUCGGGACUGACGGGAACCUUGUCUUGGCUGAUGCCGAUGGUCGGAUUGCUUGGCAAAGUAACACUGCCAACAAAGGUGUGGUAGGGUUCCAAUUGUUGCCUAAUGGUAACAUGGUGUUACACGAUUCCAAUGGCAAGUUCAUUUGGCAAAGUUUUGAUCAUCCAACU